AGCCUUGUGGCACAAUAGCAGCACGUCUGAUUCCAGAUCAGAAGGCUAUGUGUUCAAAUCACAUUGGGGUCA
This 72-nucleotide transfer RNA is filed under the name Pelodiscus sinensis (Chinese soft-shelled turtle). It matches the Rfam family "tRNA". From Rfam's summary of the family: Transfer RNA (tRNA) molecules are approximately 80 nucleotides in length. Their secondary structure includes four short double-helical elements and three loops (D, anti-codon, and T loops). Further hydrogen bonds mediate the characteristic L-shaped molecular structure. tRNAs have two regions of fundamental functional importance: the anti-codon, which is responsible for specific mRNA codon recognition, and the 3' end, to which the tRNAs corresponding amino acid is attached (by aminoacyl-tRNA synthetases). tRNAs cope with the degeneracy of the genetic code in two manners: having more than one tRNA (with a specific anti-codon) for a particular amino acid; and 'wobble' base-pairing, i.e. permitting non-standard base-pairing at the 3rd anti-codon position. The record is from Rfam by way of RNAcentral. Lineage: Eukaryota; Metazoa; Chordata; Testudines; Trionychidae.